RNAcentral lists this ribosomal RNA (391 nucleotides) under uncultured bacterium. RNAcentral's name for it is "partial 16S ribosomal RNA". It matches the Rfam family "Bacterial small subunit ribosomal RNA", at positions 523 to 918 of the family's 1533-position model. The record is from RNAcentral.
AUACGGAGGAUCCGAGCGUUAUCCGGAUUUAUUGGGUUUAAAGGGUGCGCAGGCGGCCAUUUAAGUCAGCGGUUAAAUCGUGGGGCUCAACCCCAUUCUGCCGUUGAUACUGGGUGGCUUGAUUGCGGUCGAGGGUGGCGGCAUUCGUUGUGUAGCGGUGAAAUGCAUAGAUAUGACGAAGAACACCGAUUGCGUAGGCAGCUGACCAGACCGCAAAUGACGCUCAUGCACGAAAGUGCGGGAUCGAACAGGAUUAGAUACCCUGGUAGUCCGCACAGUAAACGAUGAAUACUUGUUUUCGGCGAUAUAAUGUCGGAGGCAAAGCGAAAGCGAUAAGUAUUCCACCUGGGGAGUACGCCGGCAACGGUGAAACUCAAAGGAAUUGACGGGG